GACGAACGCUGGCGGCGUGCUUAACACAUGCAAGUCGAACGGAAAGGCCCUGCUUUUGUGGGGUGCUCGAGUGGCGAACGGGUGAGUAACACGUGAGUAACCUGCCCUUGACUUUGGGAUAACUUCAGGAAACUGGGGCUAAUACCGGAUAGGAGCUCCUGCUGCAUGGUGGGGGUUGGAAAGUUUCGGCGGUUGGGGAUGGACUCGCGGCUUAUCAGCUUGUUGGUGGGGUAGUGGCUUACCAAGGCUUUGACGGGUAGCCGGCCUGAGAGGGUGACCGGCCAAAUUGGGACUGAGAUACGGCCCAGACUCCUACGGGAGGGAGCAGUGGGGAAUAUUGCACAAUGGGCGGAAGCCUGAUGCAGCAACGCCGCGUGCGGGAUAACGGCCUUCGGGUGGGAAACCGCUUUCGCCUGUGACGAAGCGUGAGUGACGGUAAUGGGGAAAGAAGCACCGGCUAACUACGU
Molecule: ribosomal RNA, 467 nt
Filed under: uncultured bacterium
Lineage: Bacteria
Description: partial 16S ribosomal RNA
Rfam family: Bacterial small subunit ribosomal RNA
Source: RNAcentral